UAGUGCAAAGUGGUGGAACGAUAUGUGCAAAUGUUGAGAAAAUCUGAGUACAUCCAGCUGUUAGGGAAUUCGUCGUUUACCUAGGUAGCUGUGGUCAGUAAUUCAUGUACUUAGGAAUUAAUGUACAGUCAUAAAUGCCAAGACAUGGAAUGGGAAUAUGUUAUUACAGUUCUCAGAGGAAUCAAGGUUACCUGCAAAUUGUUUAAUUGCCUCCAUCUCAUCCGGGUGUGUUACCAAGGCCUCAUCUACAGUCACUCCAAGAGUCUCAGCUAAAAGCUGUGGAAGCAGACGCUCCUUUUUGGCCUGUAGAACCAGUCUUGCCUUAAAGGAAAAAUGUAUAUUUGCAACUUAGCUGGAGGUGAUUGUUGAAGGUACCUGCUUAACUCCAUUUGUGCCUAUUGCUGCUGCCAGAAAGGAGUUCUGUUCUCGUCCUUCACAGAAAUGGACUACAUACUACUUGUGGAAUGCUCGUCCCCAUUGGACUGUUUCUGGUGAAUUGAGAAAAUAUUUCCACGACGUGACUGUAGUUAAUUGAACUAUAACUUGCCACGGACAGAAUGACUGGUAUGCCGUCUUUGUUGAUUUC
This is a long non-coding RNA of Mercenaria mercenaria, 586 nucleotides long. RefSeq lists it as uncharacterized. NCBI's taxonomy places the organism in Eukaryota, Metazoa, Mollusca, Bivalvia, Venerida, Veneridae. The transcript is spliced from 4 exons. The record is from RefSeq and is a predicted model, not a curated record.